Molecule: long non-coding RNA, 79 nt
Organism: Sander lucioperca (pikeperch)
Lineage: Eukaryota; Metazoa; Chordata; Actinopteri; Perciformes; Percidae
Exons: 3
Source: RefSeq, a predicted model, not a curated record
GUCAUGCUCGAAGUAGGGCUGUGUGUUGGCAAGCAUUUGGCAAUACGAUACAUAUCAUGAUACAGGGGUUACGAAUCAA